UUAGGCACUGAAACCGGUGCCCUCCCAGAUGAGAAGACAAGUUUGCGUGAUUCAGACUCUGGGAAUGACACAGAAUCAACAGGCAGCAGCAGGAACUCGGAUAGUAACUCAAUUUUGGGAAUUAUGCCCAAAUUUUGUCCUUCCCGUGUGCCAAGCAAAAGAGAAGGAGGAGAGAGGACCAUAACGAGGACCCCAUCCCCAGCUGAUAGCGAGGUGGUCACAAUUGGU
Molecule: long non-coding RNA, 228 nt
Organism: Engraulis encrasicolus (European anchovy)
Lineage: Eukaryota; Metazoa; Chordata; Actinopteri; Clupeiformes; Engraulidae
Exons: 4
Source: RefSeq, a predicted model, not a curated record